AUUGAACGCUGGCGGCAGGCCUAACACAUGCAAGUCGAGCGAGCGGCGGACGGGUGAGUAAUGUCUGGGAAACUGCCUGAUGGAGGGGGAUAACUACUGGAAACGGUAGAUAAUACCGCAUACCAUCAGAUGUGCCACGAUGGGAUUAGCUAGGCGGUGGGGUAACGGCUCACCUAGGCGACGAUCCCUAGCUGGUAUGAGAGGAGGACCAGCCACAUUGGAACUGAGACACGGUCCAGACUCCUACGGGAGGCAGCAGUGGUGAAUAUUGCACAAUGGGCGCAAGCCUGAUGCAGCCAUGCCGCGUGUGUGAAGAAGGCCUUCGGGUUGUAAAGCACUUUCAGCGGUGAGGCGUUACCCGCAGAAGAAGCACCGGCUAACUCCGUGCCAGCAGCCGCGGUAAUUC
Molecule: ribosomal RNA, 406 nt
Filed under: uncultured bacterium
Lineage: Bacteria
Description: partial 16S ribosomal RNA
Rfam family: Bacterial small subunit ribosomal RNA
Source: RNAcentral